Aegilops tauschii subsp. strangulata is the source of this 436-nucleotide long non-coding RNA. RefSeq lists it as uncharacterized. The record is from RefSeq and is a predicted model, not a curated record. Lineage: Eukaryota; Viridiplantae; Streptophyta; Magnoliopsida; Poales; Poaceae.
AAUAGCCUAAAAACUAGGUUGUGCCUCUAUAUAAACAACAUAAUGGGAAACUAAAUCGACCGGAAGUACAACAAUAGGAGAAAAAGAAUAGUGUGUACCCCCUCCCCAUGGCGCUUCUCAAGAACAACCCAGGGGUUUUGUGCUUGGCGGCCCUUCUUGUGAUAUCCGCCACCUUCUUAUCAUGUAAUGCAUCCUACGGGAUCAGAGGCUGCAAGGACCCGGUGAAUGGAAUCCCUAGUCAGUGUCAGAUUUACUGCAGAGAUAACGGUUUUGUCUUAGAGAAAGGCAAAUGUGCACCGGACAGUGGAAAGCCCAACCGCAUGUGCUGCUGCUAUAAGUAGACACUUGCGUGUGAAUUCGUGGAAGAGUGCAAAACUUUUUCUGUAUGAGAGAUCUCAAAAAAUAAAUUAAUAAAACAUUGUUUGAUCUAUGUCUA